GAGAUGUCGCUGGUCAGACCAGUAUUUCUUACCCAUCUCUAACUGCAUUGUGUCAAUGACAUUAUUGUGGACCUGGAGUCACAUGUAGGCCAGACCAGCUCCCAUUCAGGGGUCGAGGAUCCUGUUCCUGCUGAGGGGCCCAUAAAACCUGCAAGAGGGAGAGAGAAGAGAGACAGAGUGUCAGGUGGAAGCUCAACCAGAGAUCUGCAAGUGCCAUUUUGGCUGUUGUUCUUUGAUCACACUAACUGCUGCAGCUACAGGCAAAUCUUUGCCCUGAUGCUAUUUUAAAGAAAGACAAAUAAGAAUUCCCAUAUGGACACUGGACCUGCCAACAUUUUUAAAGCUCCCUCCUUAACUUCCAAGGUGGCGGUAACAGGGUAGGUCGGAAGUGUUUGGCCUCUUGAUCACCAGACCUGCUGUAUCCUUUUUUUUAAUAAUUUAUUUUUCACUUAUUUAUGCUUAACAUC
Long non-coding RNA from Hemiscyllium ocellatum (epaulette shark), 467 nucleotides. RefSeq lists it as uncharacterized. Lineage: Eukaryota; Metazoa; Chordata; Chondrichthyes; Orectolobiformes; Hemiscylliidae. The transcript has 3 exons. The record is from RefSeq and is a predicted model, not a curated record.